Long non-coding RNA from Diceros bicornis minor, 533 nucleotides. RefSeq lists it as uncharacterized. The transcript is spliced from 2 exons. The record is from RefSeq and is a predicted model, not a curated record. NCBI's taxonomy places the organism in Eukaryota, Metazoa, Chordata, Mammalia, Perissodactyla, Rhinocerotidae.
UCCGUGGCCCCCUGGUCAGCCCCAGGCCUUACCGUGUUGCGACCUCUGGGACACCCAGACUCCAGCUGCUGGGCAGGCAGUGGGGGGGCACCUGAGGUGUGGCUCCUGGUAGGCUCACAGGUGCUUCUGUGUCCUGUAGCUACAGCCUGUCCUGCCAGCUAGGGCCCCAGGCCUAGUUGGCCAGCAGAAUACUCAAGGCCAAGAAGAACCGGCCAUCAUCAAGGUCAGGGCCCCCAGGCCCCAACACCGAGCCCCAUACCAGUGGCCAAUCACAGCCGCAUCCUCAGCAGCGGGGACACAGCUGGGACGCUUGCGAUGCACCGGGCCGGCUCCUCCCACCUGAUGGGUAGGGGAGCAUUGCAAGCUGAUUCCUGGGGCCCCGUGAACCCCAAGAGAGCGGGGACGACCCCACCCCAGCUCCCUGACAUGUCUACCCCAGCGCCUAUUCACCCAUUGGGGAGUGACAGUAGUUAUGUGUUGUAAAUAAUAAAUGCCAUAUUUGAAUAUUAUAUUAAAGUCCUGUUCCCUUUAUA